UACGAAGGGGCUAGCGUUGUUCGGAAUUACUGGGCGUAAAGCGCACGUAGGCGGAUUGUUAAGUUAGGGGUGAAAUCCCGGGGCUCAACCUCGGAACUGCCUUAGAUACUGGCAAUCUUGAGUCCGGAAGAGGUGAGUGGAAUUCCUAGUGUAGAGGUGAAAUUCGUAGAUAUUAGGAAGAACACCAGUGGCGAAGGCGGCUCACUGGUCCGGAACUGACGCUGAGGUGCGAAAGCGUGGGGAGCAAACAGGAUUAGAUACCCUCGUAGUCCCUGAGCGGG
This 281-nucleotide ribosomal RNA is filed under the name uncultured prokaryote. Its description in RNAcentral is "partial 16S ribosomal RNA". It matches the Rfam family "Bacterial small subunit ribosomal RNA", at positions 524 to 803 of the family's 1533-position model. The record is from RNAcentral.